GCUGGGCACGGUGGCCUAUGCCUGUAAUCCCAGCAGCUUGGGAGGCUGAAGCAGGAGGAUGACAAGUUUGAAACCAGCCUCAGCAAUAGUGAGGCACCAAGCAACAGUAUCUGUAAGAUACUGUCUCUA
RNAcentral lists this small RNA (129 nucleotides) under Marmota monax (woodchuck). The record is from RNAcentral. Lineage: Eukaryota; Metazoa; Chordata; Mammalia; Rodentia; Sciuridae.